RNAcentral lists this microRNA precursor (96 nucleotides) under Oryza nivara. Its description in RNAcentral is "pre miRNA MIR439". The record is from RNAcentral. Lineage: Eukaryota; Viridiplantae; Streptophyta; Magnoliopsida; Poales; Poaceae.
AACUAGCCUGUCGAACUAGGGCAGUUCGACAGUACCCUGUCGAACUGGGGCAGUUCGACAGAGGUACCUAUCGAACUACCCCAGUUCGACAGGGCG